Molecule: ribosomal RNA, 253 nt
Filed under: uncultured bacterium
Lineage: Bacteria
Description: partial 16S ribosomal RNA
Rfam family: Bacterial small subunit ribosomal RNA
Source: RNAcentral
UACGGAGGGUGCGAGCGUUAAUCGGAAUUACUGGGCGUAAAGCGUACGUAGGCGGUUUGUUAAGUCGGAUGUGAAAUCCCCGGGCUCAACCUGGGUGCUGCAUUCGAUACUGGCAGACUUGAAUACGGUAGAGGGGGGUAGAAUUCCAGGUGUAGCGGUGAAAUGCGUAGAGAUCUGGAGGAAUACCAGUGGCGAAGGCGGCCCCCUGGACCGAUAUUGACGCUGAGGUACGAAAGCGUGGGGAGCAAACAGG